CACUGACAAGCUGGAGUAUCAUCACAGGGUUGUUCCUGAUACUCCCUCAGAACGCUUGAUGGGCCUCCCAUCAACUAGGAAGCUGGCAUUGAAAAACAAGGUUGUCUUUGGCACUGGUGACCAUUGGCAUGCCCCAACUUUAACGGCAAAUAUGGCAUUUGUUAGAGCUGUUUCACAGACGCGUUUCUACUAUCGAACAUAGACCAAGGGCUUUAACUGGUGAUUAAGCUACAUACAUGCAUGAAAACAAGUUUUGAGGCAUUCAAAAUCAGGCUGUCAAUUAAAUAAUUGGGCUGAGUGUUCAACACAUGGCGCUUGCAAAUGCAGCCUUCUUGGGGGUGUUGAGUGUAUUGCUAGCAUAACAUGUAGUAAUGCAGGAUGGUAAUGCACCUGAACUACCCUUUUCUGAUCUUGAGAGCUACCAUUGGUAAUCUUUGGCGGCAGUGGUGCUUCCACCUCUACAGCGUGUAUCCGAAGUCUCUGAUGAUCUGCCAUGAAUACAGUAAGAGAGUGCUCUUACUAUCUCAUCUUUUGUGAUGGCUACACCCUGUGUUUUUGUUCAAGUGACAAUAAUGUAAUGUCCCUGCUCCAAGUACAGAUUCUUUAAUUGACUUGUUAAGUGUGGAAAUAAUUUUAUGGGAGGUGGACUGAGUGAUCUCACAAAAGAUACUUUGGUGAGGUUACCUUCCUCAUUUAUGAAAACAUGAUAUUAAUAUUGAUGAGAGCUCCUUUUUAUUUUGUUGAGGCUCGGAA
Molecule: long non-coding RNA, 753 nt
Organism: Glycine soja
Lineage: Eukaryota; Viridiplantae; Streptophyta; Magnoliopsida; Fabales; Fabaceae
Exons: 2
Source: RefSeq, a predicted model, not a curated record